UACGGGGGGAGCAAGCGUUGUUCGGAUUUACUGGGCGUAAAGGGCGGGUAGGCGGCCACCGCAAGUCAGUUGUGAAAUCUCCGGGCUUAACCCGGAAAGGUCAACUGAUACUGCGGGGCUAGAGUGCAGAAGGGGCAACUGGAAUUCUCGGUGUAGCGGUGAAAUGCGUAGAUAUCUGGAGGAACACCGGUGGCGAAGGCGACAUCCUGGACCGGUAUUGACGCUGAGGCGCGAAAGCCAGGGGAGCAAACGGG
Molecule: ribosomal RNA, 254 nt
Filed under: uncultured bacterium
Lineage: Bacteria
Description: partial 16S ribosomal RNA
Rfam family: Bacterial small subunit ribosomal RNA
Source: RNAcentral